AAAUUUUUAUUGUAUUAGCGUACAUAUAGUACAUUAUAAUUAGAUUAUAAUGUCUCUAAAAAACAUAGAAAAACAUUAGUAUAAAGUCAGUUAUGACUUUGGUUGGUGCUUUUCCAUUCAAUUUGGUAGAACCGGGAAUCGUGCACACAAAACUUGGAAGUUUACCAAUCUUACCAUGUUCACUUGAAAGUUUACACUGUUUCUAUCUAUAGGUGAUCUUGUUAAUGCGUGAAGUUGUUUGCUUUAUUGAAACUUGUGGACUGCAUGAAUUUACUCGUGAGUUUAACAACUGAACUUUAAAUCUAGUGAUGAGUUUGUGAUUUCAUGAAAAAUAAAAUUUUGGGUUAAACUUCCAAUUUCUUGUUUCUUUUAUGUCCUCUAUAGUAAUUAAAAAUUUGAUACUGAAUUACUUCUAAUUGAUUCUAUGGAAUAAAUUCCUGUUUAUUUGUUGGAAGUUUGCACAACCUUUUCAUGGACUUCUGUGUACAGAGGGAAUGUACCUAAUGGAAG
RNAcentral lists this unclassified non-coding RNA (510 nucleotides) under Hevea brasiliensis (rubber tree). The record is from RNAcentral. Lineage: Eukaryota; Viridiplantae; Streptophyta; Magnoliopsida; Malpighiales; Euphorbiaceae.